Molecule: long non-coding RNA, 226 nt
Filed under: Elaeis guineensis (African oil palm)
Lineage: Eukaryota; Viridiplantae; Streptophyta; Magnoliopsida; Arecales; Arecaceae
Description: long non-coding RNA (EGUI_LNC070449)
Source: RNAcentral
GAUAAACUAAUUUUUUAAUAAUUAAAACUAUAACUAUAACUAAACUUUGAAUGAUUAAAAUAAUUAAAACUAAAGCUAUCCAGCAUAAAGUAAAUAAACUAAGCUGAAGGCUAUGAAGGAUUAAGACUAUAAAUAAACUAACAAAGUAAAUAAACAUAAAUAUAAUAAAUAAACUAUAAAAUCACUGAAUAAACUACUGAGUAGAUUGCUAAGCUAUGACUAUGGC